CUAAUCCGAGAUCGAGCCCGGUCGAAGAAAAGUUGCAUUGCUUUGGUAUUCUCAAGGAAUGCUCGUAAGGAGUGCAGGAGAGCAUACUGAUAUGGGCAGCAUGAACCGCAGUGGAUUUUGUAGGAAAAUUGCAGUGCCAGGUUCAUCAUCACAACAACUAUUGGAGCCGUUUUUGGAUAUUUUGUCGGUGUUUCGUUUCCAUCGGUUUCUCUUUACACGAUUCAAAACAUACCUCCAACCCUUGGACAGUCUGUU
This is a long non-coding RNA of Hibiscus syriacus, 255 nucleotides long. RefSeq lists it as uncharacterized. The transcript has 3 exons. The record is from RefSeq and is a predicted model, not a curated record. NCBI's taxonomy places the organism in Eukaryota, Viridiplantae, Streptophyta, Magnoliopsida, Malvales, Malvaceae.